This 254-nucleotide ribosomal RNA is filed under the name uncultured bacterium. RNAcentral's name for it is "partial 16S ribosomal RNA". It matches the Rfam family "Bacterial small subunit ribosomal RNA", at positions 524 to 776 of the family's 1533-position model. The record is from RNAcentral.
UACGAAGGGGGCUAGCGUUGUUCGGAAUCACUGGGCGUAAAGCGCUUGUAGGCGGAUCGUUAAGUCAGGGGUGAAAUCCCGAGGCUCAACCUCGGAACUGCCUUUGAUACUGGCGAUCUUCGAGUCCGGGAGAGGUGAGUGGAACUCCGAGUGUAGAGGUGAAAUUCGUAGAUAUUCGGAAGAACACCAGUGGCGAAGGCGGCCCGCUGGGCAGUGGCUGACGCUGAGGCGCGACAGCGUGGGGAGCAAACAGG